This 511-nucleotide ribosomal RNA is filed under the name uncultured bacterium. Its description in RNAcentral is "partial 16S ribosomal RNA". It matches the Rfam family "Bacterial small subunit ribosomal RNA", at positions 28 to 523 of the family's 1533-position model. The record is from RNAcentral.
GACGAACGCUGGCGGCGUGCCUAAUACAUGCAAGUCGAGCGAAUCGAUGGGAGCUUGCUCCCUGAGAUUAGCGGCGGACGGGUGAGUAACACGUGGGUAACCUGCCUGUAAGACUGGGAUAACUUCGGGAAACCGGAGCUAAUACCGGAUACUUUCUUUUCUCGCAUGAGGGAAGAUGGAAAGAUGGUUUUGCUAUCAAUUACAGAUGGACCCGCGGCGCAUUAGCUAGUUGGUGAGGUAACGGCUCACCAAGGCAACGAUGCGUAGCCGACCUGAGAGGGUGAUCGGCCACACUGGGACUGAGACACGGCCCAGACUCCUACGGGAGGCAGCAGUAGGGAAUCUUCCGCAAUGGACGAAAGUCUGACGGAGCAACGCCGCGUGAGCGAAGAAGGCCUUCGGGUCGUAAAGCUCUGUUGUUAGGGAAGAACAAGUACGAGAGUAACUGCUCGUACCUUGACGGUACCUAACCAGAAAGCCACGGCUAACUACGUGCCAGCCGCCGCAGUAA